AACGAACGCUGGCGGCGUGGAUAAGACAUGCAAGUCGAACGAGAGAAUUGCUAGCUUGCUAAUAAUUCUCUAGUGGCGCACGGGUGAGUAACACGUGAGUAACCUGCCCCCGAGAGCGGGAUAGCCCUGGGAAACUGGGAUUAAUACCGCAUAGUAUCGAAAGAUUAAAGCAGCAAUGCGCUUGGGGAUGGGCUCGCGGCCUAUUAGUUAGUUGGUGAGGUAACGGCUCACCAAGGCGAUGACGGGUAGCCGGUCUGAGAGGAUGUCCGGCCACACUGGAACUGAGACACGGUCCAGACACCUACGGGUGGCAGCAGUCGAGAAUCAUUCACAAUGGGGGAAACCCUGAUGGUGCGACGCCGCGUGGGGGAAUGAAGGUCUUCGGAUUGUAAACCC
This 396-nucleotide ribosomal RNA is filed under the name uncultured bacterium. Its description in RNAcentral is "bacterial SSU rRNA". It matches the Rfam family "Bacterial small subunit ribosomal RNA", at positions 29 to 432 of the family's 1533-position model. The record is from RNAcentral.